Molecule: long non-coding RNA, 1543 nt
Organism: Dendronephthya gigantea
Lineage: Eukaryota; Metazoa; Cnidaria; Anthozoa; Malacalcyonacea; Nephtheidae
Exons: 3
Source: RefSeq, a predicted model, not a curated record
UCAAGAAUGCCCAUUAUAACAAAUUGCAUAAUUUAAAAAUCCCAUCUUAACAGCAAGCGGUUCUUAUUUCAUUAAAUGUUUCACUGAUGAAAUAUGAAUGAUUCUAGUGAAAAUUGUACUUAUUACAUAAUGUUAUCAGCUUCAGCAAGUGAAAUUCUUGAGUGAAACUUAUUAUGACUUUUCCUUAUAAUACAAAUAAACAAAGAGUUGCACAAUUCGACAUAGGAAGACGAGCGCUAUCUGCUCUUGCUAUAAAAAGCCCAAGAGCGCAAGAUUCUCCGCAAUUGCAUGCACGGUCACAGAAAUUAUUACUUGUAUGACAUAUGAAAAAAACCUUGAUGAUUGCACCCAUUUAUACCGUAUCAGCAAAUUUUACAUCUAUUUAAGUACUAUUAUUUCAAGUUCCAGUGAAAUUAAACGCGAUAUGAACUGGGAUUUCAUUAAAAAGACGUUUUUUCUACAUAUUAAUUCUUUUCCUUCAUUAACUAGCCUAAGGCUAUAGAGGAAGUCAUGCUAAAAAAUAAUCAAGGUUCUCAUAUUUCACCGACAUUUGUUAUUCAUGCAUCAGUCAUCACCGCCAUUAACGAAGAUUGCAUAUUUGAGAACUAUAGUCUGCUUAAGAAGAGACCGAGACAGGCGAGACUGGCGAAAGAACACCAGAUGUACAGGCUAGUACAUGCACGGAAGAAUAAACUGGGUAGAAAUCACAGAAUAGAUUGAUUUUUUUUAGUUUCAUGAUUAAGUUCAGGUAAGUGAUGGUUCACGUUGUGCCUAAAGCACACUAUAAUUACACGCGUCAUAUAUAUAUUAAUUACUAUUCUAAUAUUUUAAAUGACUGUGAUGCAUGCAAUUUUAUCGAAUGAGAUAACUUCCAAGACAAACAGAAUAAAAACAAAGACUCUUAAUAGUCAACCAUAGCAGCAUGCAUACAUGAAAUUGUCUGCUUCCAGCGACGUGAACAAUAUUGUAGGAAACAUUAUCGCUGUAAAAACUCUGGUUACAUCUGUUUGACGGUUUCACCUUGUAUAGGAACUAUAAGAAAGUUACACUAGAGCAGGAAUGGAGGGGUUUAAGAAGAUGAGUUACUGACUCUCGAAGUCUAGAAGAAUAAAAGACUCGACUUAUUGGGUUGCAGAGAUCCCGCUGUUUCAGGCUAAAUUUCUUCAACUUUAUCUCAGAAUUUCGUUCAUCGAACUAGAGUUGCAACAAAUUAAUCCAUCUCAACCGUUGUCCCGUGAGUGUGCCAUGUCUUCGAAUGUAACAAACGUCACAAGAUCACAAAAAUAUUUCACAAUGGCUUGGUUCCGUUUACCAAUAGAGGAAGGCGAUACCAUUCCAGCUGUUGAAGUCUUGAACGACAUAUUGAUCAUAACGGGCAUAAUAUUGAAUAUUGUACUGCUGUGGAUGAUAUGGAAAAAUCCAGAAAAGAAACCACGAAAUAGCAGAGCGCUGUUGUUGGCCAAUCUUUGCAUCGUAAAUCUCGUAGUUACGAUUUUUGGAGUUAUCUGCAGCAUCGAAACCAAACUCCAAUCCGAUCGGAUCU